CUACCUAGUAGUAUGGAAUAGCCAUUAGAAAUGAUGGGUAAUACUGUAUAAUCCCUGCGGGGGAAAGAUUUAUCGCUAUUAGAUGAGCCUACGUUAGAUUAGCUAGUUGGUAAGGUAAUGGCUUACCAAGGCUAUGAUCUAUAGCUGGUCUGAGAGGACGAUCAGCCACACUGGAACUGAGAUACGGUCCAGACUCCUACGGGAGGCAGCAGCGGGGAAUAUUGGACAAUGGGCGAAAGCCUGAUCCAGCUAUGCCGCGUGAGUGAAGAAGGCCUUCGGGUUGUAAAGCUCUUUCAAUAGGGAAGAUAAUGACGGUACCUAUA
RNAcentral lists this ribosomal RNA (323 nucleotides) under Ehrlichia ewingii. Its description in RNAcentral is "bacterial SSU rRNA". It matches the Rfam family "Bacterial small subunit ribosomal RNA", at positions 126 to 483 of the family's 1533-position model. The record is from RNAcentral. Lineage: Bacteria; Pseudomonadati; Pseudomonadota; Alphaproteobacteria; Rickettsiales; Anaplasmataceae.